Long non-coding RNA from Varanus komodoensis (Komodo dragon), 2530 nucleotides. RefSeq lists it as uncharacterized. The transcript has 3 exons. The record is from RefSeq and is a predicted model, not a curated record. NCBI's taxonomy places the organism in Eukaryota, Metazoa, Chordata, Lepidosauria, Squamata, Varanidae.
GGCACAGUGCGCAGUGUACACGGUGUGUUGAAUUCAAUGGGUCUGACCAGGGUUUCUGUGGGAACAAAACGGAGAGGAAGAGGAGGAUUCUGUAAACGACCUGGCGCUCCUAAAAGUGCAGAAUUAAACGGAUGGUUGCUGCAUGCCCCCAGCUUUCUCCUAGAAACACACAAAACAAAAUUAUCACACUGGUUUGCUGCCUUAAUGAACUGCCUCGGUGUCAAUAAAUAUUUGUCAAGUUUUUUACAAGAGGUUUCAAACUCUCAAAACAAAAAGGCAUACAACUGACCUGUGCAACUUAUCGCUACGGGGAAGACAAUAACAAAAUCGUUUUGAAACAAUGUAAGAUCCUUUUCCUGCUAAGGACUGCUUGGCCGAGAGCACCAGACAAUUCCUAAACUCUGAAGGGAUGGGGACUGGAAACAAUGCAAACGGGAGAAAAUGCCUCCUGGUGGAUCGCAGUCCUUAUGAGCACGUCUCCAUUUUCCCCACAAAACAGUCUCUCUUACUGGAAUGCCAGGCUUGCAGUCUUACUUGAUGGCAAACAAAGUGCACCUCCAGGAUCAUGGCCUCCUGUCCAUUGUAUUCCCAGGCUGCUUUCCCGAUACCAAAAGUACGCAUCCCUUGGCCCCCUUCCUGAAUGCAGGGAGAAUACGGACCAGUCCCAACUCCGAAGCAAGCACAUUCCAGAGCUUGGGAGCUGCUCAGGAGAAAGCUCCGUGGCCUGAACAAAGUGCCCUCAGAAGGACUUCUUACUGCUCUUUCCUAGUAUGGGGACAAAGCAGCGAGUUCCUUUCUUCCUCCUAAAACCCGAAGAACCGGGGUGGCUUUUGAAGGAAAGCAAUUUAAUUAUUUUAGCUCAUGUCUGGCUGUGUCAUUUGAUUCCCAGACAGAUUUAUUGAGCCCGUCUCUCAACCCGUUCUAGACACAAGCUCUGCUAGUCAGAAGAUGGAUUGGAUUUUAAAGCAGUCAUUUAAGGGAAAUGCUGUGAGGAGGCCCCCAAUUUGUCUCCAGACAGUUCCAGAAUCACAAAACUGAUACAUCUGUUGGCCUCCAGCUCCACCCAGUCGCCUCCUCAUUAUCACACACAGCGAGAAGCAGCAGCAUUCCAGUGGAAGAAUCCUCAGAAUUAAAAUGUCUAGACCUGGAGGCAGCUUGCCAGACCCGAUCACUGUGCUCGCCUGAGAUUUAAUGCGUGGAAGUGGAGAUGAGAGCACGAAUUAUACAAAUGAAAGCCAUUUCCAUUUCAGACCAUUAUUUCCCUAUAAGUGGUUGGGGGGUGGGACUGGGCUCUUUUAUACCACACGUUAAGGGGGGAGCAUUGGUUCUAAAUCACACUGCUGAGAGAUUAAUAUUUGACCUCGUUACUAAGUACGCCAAGCAGACACUGUAUCUGGCGUCAUCCAGCUUAGCUCUCAAAUCACGCUUCUCAAAGAACCCACCAACUUAACGUUGGCGGUGUCUAACAGGUUCCCUGCAUCGAUAAUAACCACAGCCGUGAUGUUACGUGCUGACCUGGGACCAGGCAGAAGCAUCUCCAUAGUAGUGGAACUCUAUAAACUUCCCCCAGCCACAGAUCACGGCCAACCAACCUAUGCAGAAUUCAGAGGGCCAAAUCCCAAUGGGAACAGACCAAGAGUGGCCAUGGAAUCGCAGGCCACCCACCCCAGAAUGGAGAAAGAGCCAGGCGCACUGCAGUGAGAGAAGAGCCUUCAUUUUCUCACUUGGUGCUCUUCCCCAUCCCUCAGGCUAUUCCGAGAACAUGAAGGAAAGAGGCGAUUGGCAGCUCGGGGACCAGCUGGCGCCCCUUUGGGAGCCAGGCUCGGCCCAUUGUCCGCCACUUGCCGACCCUUAAAUCUAUUAGCUUUAAUUUGCUGCGUAGCCUGAUCGUCUGCCAAAAAUCAUGCACACAGUGGAGGGAAGGCGGCACAGAAGACGAAAGGUCAGUGUUUGAAAGCAAGGGCUUUUAUCUGCAUGCACAUUUCAAAUCUGACAUCCUCCAAGGACGUGCUUCCUAUUUUGUUCAAUUUAUCUCAUAUCUCUGCCAAGUGGUUGAACAGCUGAAUACACACAUUAAAGACGCCGUUGCCUUUGUAUGGCUCCCUGCACCCCGAUAAUCAAGGGAAUCAUUACAUGAUUUGCAGAAACUGAAGGAAUGCGUUGCAUCCAAUUGCAAGAAGCAUUAAAAACCCCCUCAACCCCCUGCAUUUCAGUUCUCAGUUAAAAAGCUGUUUUAAGUCAGAUCUUUAGCAAGUUGGAAUACGGAUUUGGAUCUGCUCUGAGCAAAGUAGGGAAUUAAUUUUAAGAUUAUCAGGAAAAUCUGAUCUCUGAAGAUGUUGGCUGCUGGCACCAAAAACUCAUUCCACAGUAAAUACAAGAUAUUUUCUGGGCUGAAGCCAUGCUAUAAGCCGACUGUCCAAAAUGCACAAGGAUGCCCUUAAGGGGUGUGGAGGAGACAAAGUAAUCAAAGGGUGCUGACAAAGACGGCAACUCUAACUACUCCACUAGCCUAAAAGCAGGCAAUCAAGCU